Molecule: long non-coding RNA, 827 nt
Organism: Notolabrus celidotus (New Zealand spotty)
Lineage: Eukaryota; Metazoa; Chordata; Actinopteri; Labriformes; Labridae
Exons: 3
Source: RefSeq, a predicted model, not a curated record
AUCCCUUGACGACAAUGAUUCACUUUCGCUAACAUGAGCAACACCAGAGGCAAACUGAUCGCACGUCAUGUCAAAUCAAUCCACGGAAAGGAGUUCAGACACAUUUAUCUUCUGCUUGUUGACACUAUAGACCGUAAGGUGAGGUAAAACCGUUAGCUUCUGUUAGCAUCAAACCAAUGUAGCUAAAUCGUUAGUUUCCGUUAGCAUACUACAUCGGCAGGCUACGUACAUUUUCAUAUUAGAUCCUGUCCAUCAAUAUGAUCAACGAGUGGAGCAGAAACUCACCAUAACUGUACUACAAAGGUUCAUACAACAAUGAACCUAUGGAAAACUGUGGGGAUUAUUAAGACACAUACUUGCACUCUGUCCAUGACUGUCCCAGCUGCCACCAUGCCCAGGCCAGACACCAGGUAUGGAAGCAGGACUUGCGCUGCAAUGGUCCAUGAGCUCUCAGGCAGGACGCCGUGGGCUGAGCGGGUCACUUUGCACGUGAAGCCCCUCAGCUUAUUCCCCCGGAAACACAGCUCCAAGGCCAGAUAGGUCACCACCAUGGCUGAUCCGUGUUAACCCAUUCCUGUCUGGAAAGUGUUGGUGUUGAACAGCAAGUCUCCUUCAAAGCUUGUAGUUGAAUAGUCCAGUGGGUUUGAGAAGAAUGUGACCAUCCAUGCAGAGAACACAGUCCUCUUUUUCUGACUUCUCCCAGGUUGCUUUCACCUCACUCCGGGCUCUCCCACAGUCACAGAUGUUGCUGAAACUGUUUUUCCAUAAAGUAGUUUUCAAAAUAAAGUCCGACAGAAGAGAGAGAGCUAUUCAACAAGUCUGUUCGC